UGCAGUCGAACGGUAGAGGGGGCAACCCCUUGAGAGUGGCGAACGGGUGAGUAAUGCAUCGGAACGUGCCCAGUCGUGGGGGAUAGCCCGGGGAAACCCGGAUUAAUACCGCAUACGACCUGAGGGUGAAAGCGGGGGACCGAAAGGCCUCGCGCGAUUGGAGCGGCCGAUGUCGGAUUAGGUAGUUGGUGGGGUAAAGGCCUACCAAGCCUGCGAUCCGUAGCUGGUCUGAGAGGACGACCAGCCACACUGGGACUGAGACACGGCCCAGACUCCUACGGGAGGCAGCAGUGGGGAAUUUUGGACAAUGGGGGCAACCCUGAUCCAGCCAUGCCGCGUGCGGGAAGAAGGCCUUCGGGUUGUAAACCGCUUUUGUCAGGGAAGAAAUGUCCUGGGUUAAUAACCUGGGGGGAUGACGGUACCUGAAGAAUAAGCACCGGCUAACUACGUGCCAGCAGCCGCGGUAAUACGUAGGGUGCGAGCGUUAAUCGGAAUUACUGGGCGUAAAGCGUGCGCAGGCGGUCAUACAAGACAGAUGUGAAAUCCCCGGGCUCAACCUGGGAACUGCAUUUGUGACUGUAUGGCUGGAGUACGGUAGAGGGGAGUGGAAUUCCGCGUGUAGCAGUGAAAUGCGUAGAUAUGCGGAGGAACACCGAUGGCGAAGGCAGCUCCCUGGACCUGUACUGACGCUCAUGCACGA
RNAcentral lists this ribosomal RNA (700 nucleotides) under uncultured bacterium. Its description in RNAcentral is "bacterial SSU rRNA". It matches the Rfam family "Bacterial small subunit ribosomal RNA", at positions 56 to 756 of the family's 1533-position model. The record is from RNAcentral.